RNAcentral lists this ribosomal RNA (301 nucleotides) under uncultured bacterium. Its description in RNAcentral is "partial 16S ribosomal RNA". It matches the Rfam family "Bacterial small subunit ribosomal RNA", at positions 509 to 807 of the family's 1533-position model. The record is from RNAcentral.
CAGCCGCCGCGGUAAUACAUAGGGUGCAAGCGUUAAUCGGAAUUACUGGGCGUAAAGCGCGCGUAGGUGGUUUGUUAAGUUGGAUGUGAAAUCCCCUGGCUCAACCUGGGAACUGCAUCCAAAACUGGCAAGCUAGAGUAUGGUAGAGGGUGGUGGAAUUUCCUGUGUAGCGGUGAAAUGCGUAGAUAUAGGAAGGAACACCAGUGGCGAAGGCGACCACCUGGACUGAUACUGACACUGAGGUGCGAAAGCGUGGGGAGCAAACAGGAUUAGAUACCCCGGUAGUCCCUGUCUCUUAUAC